GUAGGUGGCGAGCGUUGUCCGGAUUUACUGGGCGUAAAGGGCUUGUAGGCGGUCCGUUAAGUCUGGUGUGAAAUCUCCCGGCUCAACCGGGAGGGGUCAUCGGAUACUGGCGGACUAGAGGGGGGUAGAGGAAAGCAGAAUUCCUGGUGUAGCGGUGAAAUGCGUAGAUAUCAGGAGGAAUACCAGUGGCGAAGGCGGCUUUCUGGGCCUACCCUGACGCUGAGGAGCGAAAGCGUGGGGAGCAAACCGGAUUAGAUACCCGGGUAGUCCACGCCCUAAACGGUGGAUGCUAGGUGUGGGGGGUGUCGACCCCCUCCGUGCCGCAGCUAACGCUUUAAGCAUCCCGCCUGGGGAGUACGGCCGCAAGGCUA
Molecule: ribosomal RNA, 371 nt
Filed under: uncultured bacterium
Lineage: Bacteria
Description: bacterial SSU rRNA
Rfam family: Bacterial small subunit ribosomal RNA
Source: RNAcentral